RNAcentral lists this long non-coding RNA (2717 nucleotides) under Rattus norvegicus (Norway rat). RNAcentral describes it as "long non-coding RNA NONRATT014762". Lineage: Eukaryota; Metazoa; Chordata; Mammalia; Rodentia; Muridae. The record is from RNAcentral.
AUGACGUCCAGUUUAAACAUAAACAUUCGAUUGCUGCAACAGACUGGCCUGGUGGCUUCUCCGCUGGACAGCCCCUGUGCCAUUUCCUGUGUCUGACGGCAGACUUUGCUGACGGCACUGGGUUCACCAUUGUCCUGUCAGCCCUCAGCUCCUGCACAUGGCUUGUCUUUGAAACCAGCUGGGUUCCUGUCGUCCUGCUGAGGGUGGAAUAUCAGACCAGGAAUACAAAGAGCUAAAGUUUCAUGGGGCGGUGCGGGUGUGGUGGGGGAACGGCAAACAUUACUUCACUUAACUGCAAUGAACCAUCUCCAAGGUUAUAUGGGGAGAACUGCCAGUUUAAGGCAGGCUUCAGUGAACUCCUGAAUAUUUACAAGCUGCGAGCCUGGACAGGUGUAACUGCUCUCCAGGGAUGCAGCUGUGAAAGAGGCGAGGACUCAGCUCACUCCAGAGCCGACGGAACUCAGAGAAGCAGAGUCGCCGGACCAAGCACUGCCCAAGAAGAGGGAUGGGGACCAGGCGGUGCCGGGCUACGGUGGUCCUCCGGGUGCCAUAAAUGCUAAAAUCACCCAUCUCCUGUAAUCCUGCAUCUGUGCUCUCAAGAGUGAGAUGGUUAAGUUCACCGCUUUGUGGAGCUGGCUGCGGAUGGCUUCUGUGUGGUCCUCUGUCCCGGGAGAAGAUAGAGCGCAGGCUGAUGGGAAGGCUCAGCCGGUGAAGACACUCGCUUCCACACCUGUGGCCUGAGUGCAAUCCUGGUGAGCUUCAUGGUGGAAGCAGAGAACUGAGGCCAUAAGGAGUCCUCUGACUGCUACAUCUGUGCCUCGCACACUCUCCCAGUAACUAAAACUGUCAUUAAAACCUUAAAAGGGGCUGGAGGGAUGGCUCAGCGGUUAAGAGCACUGCCCGCUCUUCCAGAGGUCAUGAGUUCAAAUCCCAGCAACCACACGGUGGCUCACAACCAUCUGUAAUGGGAUCGGAUGCCCUCUUCUAGUGUGUCUGAAGACAGCGACGGUGUACCCACAUACAUAAAAUAAAUAAAUCUUUAAAAAAAAGUUGUCAUGUUUUUAUAAUUGCAGGAAACACUGAUUUUCUUAUCCGUGGGUUAGAAAAACUGGCAGGCUUUUUUCCUCUUCAUCUGAAUCCUGGCAUCUAAGGACCGGCGUGGAGCACAGCACUAAGUAGCCUGUGUAUGCUCUCUCCCUGGAUACGUUACGACCUAUAACUAGUUCUUCCACGAGGAAGAUCAAGACUCAACCCAUUGACUCCCGUGUCAACAAGUGUUACUUGGACAUCCACCCCACGCAGCCCUAGGUGUCACAUCACAUAUAGGAUGGGAAUAUUAAACUGGAUGACUCUGCUCUGGUGUGCACACCUUCUAGAAAAAUGUAUGUUACAGAGAAUAAACAAACCUCUGUUGUAUAUGUUAUUGACAGGCCAGCUGCAGCAGCUAUGUUUUCUUGGAAGGCUUUCAGGCUAGCACAGGCCAGCCGGGAUUUGUUCGUAGUACUCUUAUUAUACAAAAGCUAGUGUAGGUUUCAAAGGGCGAAGUUAAACGAUUCAAGAACAUUGACCGCAAGUUGGUAGAGGUCUGUCUUUGGCUAACGGACGUUAAAGAAGUAAAGCUAAAAGUUAAUGUUUCUUCCUACAAAUUUCUCCUGUAGGUGAGGUCGUGGCCCAGCUAGGAUGUGUCAGAAAACGUGCACAGAACGCCAGGCAGCAGCAAGCGCGUCAGGGCUCACAGAGGGCUCAGCCAAGGCCCUGAUUUCUACCCCUGGGACCCACAUGGUAGGGGACAACUGACUUCCUCAAGUUGUCCUCUGACCUCCACAUGAACACCAUGGCAUUUGAGCACCCCCCACGUGCAUAAAUAGAAUAACAAAGGGCAAAGCGCAUACACGUAAGCAAGUGGAAGAUACGAACCGCUCUGAAAAUUCUUGCUCCUGAUUUAUUAAAAACAAAAAGGACUCCCUGAAAAAUGAAUGCAACAGGACCCCAUGGCAGAGUUCUAAUGAAAUACACUCUAGUCUCUCUCCGUCGAAACCACAAGGCUGCAAACCUGGGCCGGGCUGUGACGUAUGCCCACGGGUUGCAAGAUUCACAGAUAGCAGACAUGGCCUUGUCCGAAGGCUCCUUGGAGGCCAGUGUGAGAUCUGCCUCAGAUAAAGCUCGGGCACACGUCAUCUGCAAGCCACACGGGUGGGACACCCUGCUCUGUUCUGUGUCUUCUGGGCUUCUGCCAAGGGUCCUGCUGGCCCUUGUAUUUCCUCUUGAGCCCGCAUAGGCUUCACUCCAAGCUCUUUCCACUCAGAAGCACUCAGAGGUCUGUCUGCCUCUGUUGGUGGCAAGAGCAACCUGCUGAUGUCGUUAGCCUUUGUUUCACAAGCUUGACUGGCCUUGGGGGUGACGCUUCGUGUGCUUUCUAAGUGUGUACCUGCACUGCCCUGGUAGGUGUGCAGUGACGCAUCACGUGUGCACGCGGAGGUCUGAAGUUGAAGAGCAUCUUUCGCUACUGCCCUCCGCCCUAUCUUUUGAGGUCUCUCUGGGCUUAGGCAGCUGACUGGUGAGCCACAGGGAAUCCUGGGGUGUCUGCCUCCCCAGUGCUAGGGUUACAGGUUACAUCACGCCUCAUUUUUUUUUUUCUUUUUUUCCGGAGCUGGGGAACGAACCCAGAGCCUUGCGCUUGCUAGGCAAGCGCUCUACCACUCAGCUAAAUCCCCAAC